CCCUUAGAUGUUCUGGGCCGCACGCGCGCUACACUGAUGCAUCCAACGAGCCUAUCCUUGACCGACAGGUCCGGGUAAUCUUUGAAUCUGCAUCGUGACGGGGAUAGAUUAUUGCAAUUAUUAAUCUUCAACGAGGAAUGCCUAGUAGGCGCAAGUCAUCAGCUUGCGUCGAUUACGUCCCUGCCCUUUGUACCCACCGCCCGUCGCUCCUACCGAUUGAGUGGUCCGGUGAGGCUUUGGGAUCUGAGCGGAAAGAGCGUUUCGCUGUUUCUGCUCGGAAAACUCAGUCGAACCUUAUCAUUUAGAGGAAGGAGAAGUCGUAACA
RNAcentral lists this ribosomal RNA (325 nucleotides) under uncultured eukaryote. RNAcentral describes it as "partial 18S ribosomal RNA". It matches the Rfam family "Eukaryotic small subunit ribosomal RNA", at positions 1470 to 1796 of the family's 1831-position model. The record is from RNAcentral.